GUAAAUCCACAAACAUGAUCCCUUCUUUGUCUUCAUUCUCCAUCUUUAGCAGUUGAGUUGUCGUCAUGACCUGUUGCUCAGUGACAUCGCAGUUAAAACUUUAAAGACAUUUGGUAAUCGGCUAAGAGCAGGAAAUGUGUGGCAAACAAAUUAGUUCAUCGUAUGAAGCCCUCGGUGAUUGCGUGCUGAUAUAGGAGGGUCUGGGUAGUUUCGAUGGGAAGCGAAAAUAAGGUGUAUCAAAUUCCAGCUCCAUUUAAGCAGCAAGACAGAAGAGGAAACAAUAGAAGCCAACGCUCAUUCCUAAACUGGAUAGACCAGUUAGAGCAGGUAAAGGCAAACUGCCAGACUUGUCAGAGGAAAUGAAGACAGAGGCUGACUCCGUCUUUCAGAGCGUUAAAUGUGCUUUACGAGGAGGCAUCCACGACAUUACGGUACGAUACAGCCUUACAAAUGAAUAACCUGUCAGCAUUACGUGAUUAGUUUAACAAACAUUAUCAAUACGAUAUGUUCACGAGUUCAGAACUCAUUUGGCAACUUUUUUCAACAACCUGUUGAACUGUAAAGCCUUUAUCUGUUAAGCUUUUAUUUCCACAUUUACCCUCUUAUUCGCUUUUCUCUUUUGACUUUUCAACAUAGAGAUUCGCCUAAUUCAUGCGCUAUCUGUUGUGAGGUGGAUGGGACUGAGACGUAAAAUGUCUGCUCAUCCAUUUUUCUUUCGUCUGAGGUUCAGCUGCAAGUUGAGACAGAGCGCAGAGUUGGACAGAGCAGAGAGCGAAUUUCCGCUAGACAGAAUAUUAUUAUGUGUUCUAAGCUGCUAUUGGGAUAUUUUUAAGCAGCUGAGGGCUGUGGAAGUCGGGAAGGUGAGGGGAAAAUGGAGGGAAAAUGUCGACUGCAUACUGUACAGCGACGGCUGCAGAGCGAGGUGGAAGGCUGUGAUUGGUGGAAAGAGAAACAUUUGUUCAUUUCUUUCAUACACCUGAAUAGCUGCAAGUCACAUGAGUGCCAGUUGCUCCGCCAGUGUAUAGCAACAGGGCGGGAAGUGCGGAAUAGAAUUUCAACAGGGUGACAUUCAAUCACCGGGAAGCCAGAAGAGGUGAUAGACCCAUUUUAUGUUGUUUGUUCAUAUUUGAAUCACAGGUUUGAGUGUGUGUAGCUCUUAUCACCACUGCAGGUGAAAGGUGAAGUUAAACUGCGGUAUGAUUCAGGUGAUAGGGUGAAUGACACUGCAUUGUGGGCCAGGGCCUUGUUCUUUUUUAGAUAAAAAAAAAAAGAAAAUCAUGCUAUGCUAAUAUUUGAGGGAAAAAACAGUUUUCCCUUUUCAAUUAAAGUAACUACGAUUAGGUAAUAUAAUUAAAAGUGUUCCAUUUAAAAAAACCCAAAAAACAAAGUUAACACCAAGCCGGGGUGGGGGUGUGGGAGGAUGUAACACGUGUAAAACUACUCGGUCAGUAAGUAUAUGUUUAAAUAAGCAAACCCAGGAGCUUGAGUGGCACAUGGAUGAUAAGCAGUAUCAUGGCCUAAAUAUCACAGUUACCACGCUCCUCCUCAGCAGUCUGAAGGCCCAAUUAGGUGGCGCUGAGAUAAGGUCUGGAGUUAAAUAAGGUUUUGGGUUUCCCCGCCAUUGUUUUCUCACAAAGACGGCAACUAUUGAUUAAGGGCCAGGCCAGUUUACCUAUCGGGUUGUUCACUUCACAGCAGAGUCGCAUUCCAGCAGAGAGGGCAGAGUUACCUGAUCACGCCUCACUUCCAACAGGCAAAAAGCGUGGGUAGCCUUAAGCGGUUAAGACUCCCACUGCAUGCAGCUCUAUGUACAACAAUGGGAAAAAAUUCUGCAGUAUAUCGCCACGACUAGCAGAAGAGGAAGUAUUUGGACAAAAGGAGGUCAAACUGAGAGGACGUAGCGUUCGGUAAUAUAUUUGAGAAGUGACACGCGACAUGCUCUACUUUGAUCAGGUGAAAACUCAGAGGCCAUCCUUCCAGCCUGUUGAUAGGCGUCUUACCAGACAUGGUUAGAUGUAAUUAUUGGUGUCUAAUACUGUCUGGUAAUGCCGUCCAUUAAAUGGCAUUACCUUCUGCUCUCUUACUUCCCCUUCUCUCACUCUUGUGCAUCUGACAUGCAGUGUAUUGACAAAGGGCAGUCCAGACAAGGGCAUCAGCAUAUUAAUAGCAGUGGCAGAUGGGGCUGGAUGAUGAUGACUAUGGAACUAUGAUCCUUGCGCUGGAAGAUGGAUUGAUUUCUUGUAGUUUCUUCCAUGUGACUUGAGUCAGAGUUUCUCCACUGAGCAACUGUCCAGUAUAAGAUCGUUCUACUUACAGAGGGCUUUCUCACCUGUAAAUUAGUUUCUGGUAGGAAUGUUAAUGUGAAUGUCACAUAAAAAUGUAUUUUGUAACUUUUACUUGCUGACAGAUCUGUUUUCUUCAUGACUAAAUUCUGUCUGGAAACAUAGUAAAACAAUGUGCAUAGUUUCUGAAACUCUGUUGUCUAUAACAUACUGUACCUAAUGUUAACUGUAUUUACUGUGAUAUGAAGUUGUGUAAUGUAACAGAAGAAAUGAAAUAAAGUAGGAUCAAAUUUGAA
Molecule: long non-coding RNA, 2578 nt
Organism: Amphiprion ocellaris (clown anemonefish)
Lineage: Eukaryota; Metazoa; Chordata; Actinopteri; Pomacentridae
Source: Ensembl